UAUCAAAAGAAUAUGCAACAUAAGUGAAUUAAUGGUAUAGGAUAUCAUUUGGUAUUUUGUACUUGCUACCAUAAUGUGGAUAGGCAUUGCAAUAAGUACUGUUUAAAGAAAAUCUAUAAUAAUUUACUAUUUGUUUCACAACAACAGCAUAUUAGGUUCUUAGAACAAGGUUCAACUUAUUUUUAUUUUUUUUUGUUUCUCAGCAUAACAGCACAUUAACAUUUUUGAUUGUGCAUAAAAUUUCAUGCAAACUUUUUUCUGUUUUGUGGGAGCCUUCAGAAUUUUUAUGGACUUUACUUUGUUUUGGGGCACUGUAAUUUUUCUUUAGCAGCCCAGCACCUUGGAAUAGUUAUGGGUCUAUCAAAACACAGCAUUUUAAUUUUAUAGGCACACCUAUGCAUUUAAUUCUCUCUCUAAAACUUCUUUUAAGUCCUUAAAGGGUCAUUCCAGACUUGAGGGGGAAGCUACGAUUGCUACGUGUAAAUAAAGCACACAAGCACGAUAUAUUGAACCUAACAGCAAAGUGUUCAUUAAUCCUGAAAUCCAGCCAGGCCACAGAUUCCAAUUCGUAGUUCAUGAGAGCCGCAUCCACCUGUCUCCCAGAGCUUUCUCAUCUCUCACUUGCUCAGGUGUGUGAAUCUCCUGUCGUGAGAUGCUACUUGAUGAUGUCACCAUCCAUGCCCAGCAUCUCUGACUCCCA
Molecule: long non-coding RNA, 700 nt
Organism: Alligator mississippiensis (American alligator)
Lineage: Eukaryota; Metazoa; Chordata; Crocodylia; Alligatoridae
Exons: 3
Source: RefSeq, a predicted model, not a curated record